GYCGCGGUUAAACCAAGACGAUUUAGUUAUAUGUGGUCGGUCAAAAGACAGUUAAACGAUAUGAAAGUUUGUUUAAUAAUUAUUUAGAAGUAAAAUUCGGAAAUAAUCUAGAAAUCUAAUUAUAGCUAAAAAGUUGAAGCUGUGACAACCCUGAGGGAAACUGGGAUUAGAUACCCCACUAUUCCUGGAGGUAAAGCGAUUUAGAUCUACCGGAGUACUAUGAAUUUAACUUAUUUAAAACUCAAAGAGCUUGGCGGUGUUUUAGACUCUUCAGGGGAACCUGUCUCAUAAUCGACAAUCCACGUUACACCUAACUUCUAUUUGCUCUCAGUAUGUAUACCGUCGUCGUCAGGUAACUUUUUAGAACGAAGAAGUUAGCGACAGAAUUAAUAAUAAAUUCAAACGUCAGAUCAAGGUGCAGCUCACGUAGAAGUGAGGAUGGGUUACAAUUAUAAAACUUAUAAAGACGGAUCAACGACUCAGAGGAGCCCUUGUGAAGGAGGACUUGAAAGUAAAAUGGAAUACAAGAACAUCUUGAAUUAAGCUCUGAAACGUGUACAAAUUGCCCG
Molecule: ribosomal RNA, 569 nt
Filed under: Drupina grossularia
Lineage: Eukaryota; Metazoa; Mollusca; Gastropoda; Neogastropoda; Muricidae
Description: Drupa grossularia partial 12S ribosomal RNA
Source: RNAcentral